UACGUAGGUGGCAAGCGUUGUCCGGAUUUACUGGGCGUAAAGGGCGUGCAGGCGGUUUGCUAAGUCUAGGGUGAAAGCUCCCGGCUCAACUGGGAGAGGUCCUUGGAUACUGACAGACUUGAGGGAGGCAGAGGAGAAUGGAAUUCCCGGUGUAGUGGUGAUAUGCGUAGAUAUCGGGAGGAACACCCGUGGCGAAGGCGGCCAACUGGGCCGGACCUGACGCUGAGGCGCGAAGGCGUGGGGAGCGAACGGG
Molecule: ribosomal RNA, 253 nt
Filed under: uncultured bacterium
Lineage: Bacteria
Description: partial 16S ribosomal RNA
Rfam family: Bacterial small subunit ribosomal RNA
Source: RNAcentral